RNAcentral lists this ribosomal RNA (446 nucleotides) under uncultured bacterium. RNAcentral's name for it is "bacterial SSU rRNA". It matches the Rfam family "Bacterial small subunit ribosomal RNA", at positions 217 to 662 of the family's 1533-position model. The record is from RNAcentral.
GGUAUGGGAUGAGCUUGCGUCCGAUUAGCUAGUUGGCGGGGCAACGGCCCACCAAGGCGACGAUCGGUAGCCGGCCUGAGAGGGUGAUCGGCCACAUUGGGACUGAGAUACGGCCCAGACUCCUACGGGAGGCAGCAGUAGGGAAUAUUGCACAAUGGGGGGAACCCUGAUGCGGCAACGCCACGUGUGGGAAGAAGCAUUUCGGUGUGUAAACCACUGUCGUGAGGGAAUAAGGCCUGCUCUAGGACAGGAUUGAAUGUACCUCGAAAGGAAGCACCGGCAAACUUCGUGCCAGCAGCCGCGGUAAUACGAGGGGUGCAAGCGUUGUUCGGAAUCACUGGGCGUAAAGGGAGCGUAGGCGGAGAUUCAAGCGGAUUGUACAAUCCCGGGGCCCAACCCCGGACCUGCAGUCCGAACUGGAUCUCUUGGAUAGUUCAGGGGCAGGC